AGGGAAUCUUCCACAAUGGACGCAAGUCUGAUGGAGCAACGCCGCGUGAGUGAAGAAGGUCUUCGGAUCGUAAAGCUCUGUUGUUGGUGAAGAAGGAUAGAGGCAGUAACUGGUCUUUAUUUGACGGUAAUCAACCAGAAAGUCACGGCUAACUACGUGCCAGCAGCCGCGGUAAUACGUAGGUGGCAAGCGUUGUCCGGAUUUAUUGGGCGUAAAGCGAGCGCAGGCGGAAUGAUAAGUCUGAUGUGAAAGCCCACGGCUCAACCGUGGAACUGCAUCGGAAACUGUCAUUCUUGAGUGCAGAAGAGGAGAGUGGAACUCCAUGUGUAGCGGUGGAAUGCGUAGAUAUAUGGAAGAACACCAGUGGCGAAGGCGGCUCUCUGGUCUGCAACUGACGCUGAGGCUCGAAGCAUGGGUAGCGAACAGGAUUAGAUACCCUGGUAGU
RNAcentral lists this ribosomal RNA (445 nucleotides) under uncultured bacterium. RNAcentral's name for it is "partial 16S ribosomal RNA". It matches the Rfam family "Bacterial small subunit ribosomal RNA", at positions 356 to 794 of the family's 1533-position model. The record is from RNAcentral.